AUAUCACGGAAAAAAAAAGAAAAAAAAAACACCUUGAUUAAAGGCUAGUACCGGCUGUACUGGUUGUACAUCCCUUUAACUCGGGGUUGGGGAGAUUUUGUCCCCCAUACGUCGAACUGUGUACAAGCUACUUCUUUUCUCCUUCAGCCCCGUUAACUUCCAAUAAGGGGACAGAAUCUGCGGCGGACAUAUAGUAGCGUUGACCGUGGGUUGCGUUGUACACAGUUGAAUGACACAAUUGAAGGUACAAUUGACUGCCUUUUCUGCCCGUUUCUUUGGAGGUUUAUUCACACACAACAAGUCAUAAAAUUACACGAAACAGAACCGUAAGCCAGAGAGCGCCCUCUCCGGCGAGCAGACACGAUCGGCAUGUCUGGGCCACCAGUGAUGUUCCGACCGAAGGGGUGUCGUCCCGGCGCCCCCUACUGGUCGAACAGCACCGCCGCUAUAAUAUUUCACUUUUACCACUGUACACAGCGCCCUGUACCCGCUUUCGGCUGUACAGCAAUGAAAUAGUGGACCCUAAUACUAUUAUUCCUUCUUUCGUAAGGAAGCUAAGCAAAGUUGUUCUUUGAUUAUAGGACCAAUGUAAACCAGCUUCUGAGCUUAUUUGUGUACCCGGUAUAAAUACUAUUCAAUAAAUAAAAAUUACUAAGAACAGAGAGAAACAUAAGAAACAAGGCAACGGGAGAUUUUUUUCUGAAAAUGAAUGCAUGUAUUUUCUAAAAUGAAACAAUUCUCUCGCACACUCAAUAUACUUUACACAUAAAUGAAAAUAAUAAUACAGGAAGGGCCUACGGCGUUACAAACUGAACUGGACACUUAAAGUGCUUAACAACUUUAAACCCGAAAGAGAGUUUUAACGAAGAUUUUCAGAAUGGUGUAAUUUGAAGGAGUUAAGACUUCAAUAUGUUUGUGAUACAUUAGAAGGCGCCACUAGACAAUUAAAAACAAGUACAAUUCUUGUUUUUUAUGUCUGAAAAUGGCCAACGAAACUUUUUAAACACUCUUGGGAAUUGUUAAGUGGGUGAGAAAAAGACAUGCCUCCGGCGUUUGGAAGGAAAUAAACUGUUGAGUGGUUGUUUGUGUUUGUGUUGGCAAAACAACAAAAACGAGAUCAAAAUACUUGGGAUGUGUUCCCAGUGUCACAAAAUUUAAUCAAAGUACAAUUUAAAUUAACGUUGCUAUUUUACCUUCAAAAUACUUAUUACUGUCACAUUUAAAUGUUUCAUAAUUCUCCACCGAGUGUUUGUUUCAUUUCACCGUAACAAUUGUUCCUUUUGUUGUUAUUGUUUAUUUUUGAGACAAUUUAAUUUCACUUGAAAUUAAUUCACACAGUGCUCACAUGGCUUUGAAAAGGGUUCUUUUAAAUGCCGAAAAACCAGUUACGCAAAACAGCUGUCCAUUAUAUUAAUCCAACAAAACACUUUUAAAUCAAAAAUAUAAACCAACAUAGUACACGCUUCACUGUCUAGACUACAAGUACCACAGAUUAAUUAACAA
Asterias rubens (European starfish) is the source of this 1503-nucleotide long non-coding RNA. RefSeq lists it as uncharacterized. NCBI's taxonomy places the organism in Eukaryota, Metazoa, Echinodermata, Asteroidea, Forcipulatida, Asteriidae. The transcript has 2 exons. The record is from RefSeq and is a predicted model, not a curated record.